This 71-nucleotide transfer RNA is filed under the name Marmota monax (woodchuck). Its description in RNAcentral is "tRNA.Ala". The record is from RNAcentral. Lineage: Eukaryota; Metazoa; Chordata; Mammalia; Rodentia; Sciuridae.
GGGAUUUGGCUCAGUUGGUAGAGUGCUUGCCUGGCAUGGGUGAGAUUCUGGGUUGGAUCCCCAGUAACCCA